RNAcentral lists this ribosomal RNA (392 nucleotides) under Propionibacterium acidifaciens. RNAcentral's name for it is "bacterial SSU rRNA". It matches the Rfam family "Bacterial small subunit ribosomal RNA", at positions 28 to 421 of the family's 1533-position model. The record is from RNAcentral. Lineage: Bacteria; Bacillati; Actinomycetota; Actinomycetes; Propionibacteriales; Propionibacteriaceae.
GACGAACGCUGGCGGCGUGCUUAACACAUGCAAGUCGAACGGUAAGGCGCUUUCGGGCGUACACGAGUGGCGAACGGGUGAGUAACACGUGAGGAACGUGCCCUUGACUUUGGUAUAGCACUUGGAAACAGGUGGUAAUCCCGAAUAUUCAGUUUCCCGGGCAUCCGGGUUGUUGGAAAGCUUUUUGCGGUCAGGGAUCGUCUCGCGGCCUAUCAGCUUGUUGGUGGGGUAGUGGCCCACCAAGGCCUUGACGGGUAGCCGCCCUGAGAGGGCGACCGGCCACAUUGGGACUGAGAUACGGCCCAGACUCCUACGGGAGGCAGCAGUGGGGAAUAUUGCACAAUGGGCGGAAGCUGAUGCAGCAACGCCGCGUGCGGGAUGACGGCCUUCGG